CACACAGCGCAAUUAGUAGGAAAUUGGGAAUCAACAACACUAUUUAAAGCGAUCUAGCGGUAACCUGUAAAUGGUCUAUGGUUUCUCUGUUUCUCCCUCAUUUGCUAAUUCUGGUUCGACGAAGAAGAAGAAGAAGUAGAGCUUUUGCUUCAGACAAAGAAAUACUCGAUUGAAGAGCUGGGAGCUUGAUAGCCUCAACUUUAUCCAUCUACCAGUAUCUCAUUUCCCGAACAUCUUCGAGGGGGAAGAAAUUUGUUCCUCAGACCAUUGAUGUAGACAAUGUACAAAUUCAUGUUACUCUGAUUAAAAUGCUCACUCUGAUGAACCGAAUAGCGAUAAAAACCGGAGAAACUCCACAAACUGCGGCCACUGUAGUUCAAUUUGACAAGUUGCGGGGGGAAAGGAGCCCACUGAUCAAGGGGAAAAGAAUAGGUUCAAAGUAAGCCAGCUUGAGAGACCGGAACUGGAUUGCUUCUUGGAGGAGCAUGCACGCUUUUCUCAAAAAGAGGAUGAAAUCUUCUCCCAAGCUUUGGAAAUUGGAAAUCAUCUGGCAAGAUUUAAAGAUUAUUUACAUCUUUUAUAAUAAACAUAUGCUUGAGAAUCCUUUUCUUAGUUAAUACCAAUGGUUUUACUUUUAUUUCAUUUUUUGGGGGUAGGUAAUGAGAGUUAAUUUUUAGUCAUUAGCGAGCGGAACAGAGGUUCUGGCUGGGGUUUGUGGUAUUGAUAUUCUGUUCAAACAUUUGAUAAUGGGGAACUUGUAAAUUCAUAUUCUGUUCUUGUUUUUAGAUUGUUGGGACUUUCUUUGAAAAAACAUAAAGAAGUCGGAAGUUUUCAUCUGUAUUGUUGAUAACUUUGAUAUUGAUAUUUUGUUCAAAUAUUUGAUACUGGUGAACUUGUAAAUUCAUAUUCUGUUCUUGUAUUACGAUUGUUCGACCUUUCUUUUAAGAUACAAAGAAGUCUGAAGUAUUCAUUUCAGUG
Long non-coding RNA from Macadamia integrifolia, 978 nucleotides. RefSeq lists it as uncharacterized. NCBI's taxonomy places the organism in Eukaryota, Viridiplantae, Streptophyta, Magnoliopsida, Proteales, Proteaceae. The transcript has 3 exons. The record is from RefSeq and is a predicted model, not a curated record.